UACGAAGGGAGCUAGCGUUGUUCGGAAUUACUGGGCGUAAAGCGUACGUAGGCGGAUUAGUAAGUAUGGGGUGAAAUCCCAGGGCUCAACCCUGGAACUGCCUCAUAAACUGCUAGUCUUGAGUUCGAGAGAGGUGAGUGGAAUUCCAAGUGUAGAGGUGAAAUUCGUAGAUAUUUGGAGGAACACCAGUGGCGAAGGCG
Molecule: ribosomal RNA, 200 nt
Filed under: uncultured bacterium
Lineage: Bacteria
Description: partial 16S ribosomal RNA
Rfam family: Bacterial small subunit ribosomal RNA
Source: RNAcentral